CCAGACUCCUACGGGAGGCAGCAGUGGGGAAUAUUGCACAAUGGGGGGAACCCUGAUGCAGCGACGCCGCGUGGGCGAGGAAGUAUUUCGGUAUGUAAAGCCCUAUCGGCAGGGAAGAAGAAAUGACGGUACCUGAAUAAGAAGCACCGGCUAAAUACGUGCCAGCAGCCGCGGUAAUACGUAUGGUGCAAGCGUUAUCCGGAUUUACUGGGCGUAAAGGGAGCGUAGACGGUGAAGCAAGUCUGAAGUGAAAGGCGGGGGCUCAACCCCCGGACUGCUUUGGAAACUGUUUGACUGGAGUGCAGGAGAGGUAAGUGGAAUUCCUAGUGUAGCGGUGAAAUGCGUAGAUAUCAGGAGGAACACCGGCGGCGAAGGCGGCCUGCUGGACCGUGACUGACGUUGAGGCUCGAGAGCGUGGGGAGCAAACAGGAUUAGAUACCCUAGUA
Molecule: ribosomal RNA, 446 nt
Filed under: uncultured bacterium
Lineage: Bacteria
Description: partial 16S ribosomal RNA
Rfam family: Bacterial small subunit ribosomal RNA
Source: RNAcentral